UUGUUGUUCCUGCCAUUGUGGCUUCAGAACUGCCCACUCCUUUGCAAAGCCUCAUUCUUUUGAGGCUGUUCAUCCAUACAACCCUCUGAUUACUUGUCUACCACUCUCAUUUACUACUACUCUCCUGCUACUUUAAAUAGCUAGCCCUUGGUCUUCCUGUCCACUCCUUGAUAUUUUAACAUUUACAUAGACAAUUCAUUUGGUGUUUUGUCUCCUAGUUAUUUGGCCCAAUCUCUGAUGAUUUCCACUCUGUCUUGGCCACUCACU
Molecule: long non-coding RNA, 267 nt
Filed under: Homo sapiens (human)
Lineage: Eukaryota; Metazoa; Chordata; Mammalia; Primates; Hominidae
Description: non-protein coding lnc-TIMM10B-2:1
Source: RNAcentral